ACAUUACACAAUCUUUAAAAACAAUACAGUAUCUUUGUUUGAACGCCAUAAAAUGAUUCCCAUACAGAAUACCGCAAUUCCUGGCCUAAAGAGCGCACCUGGUGAUAAGACACGGUACACAGAAAGAGUUUAACACUAGCGCGGUGGUGCUAAUGCUAACGCGGUGGUGCUAACACUAAUACGGCGGCGCUAAUGCUAACACGACGGCACUAACGCUAACGCGCCGGUGUUAACGCUAACGCGGCAGAGCUAACGCUAACACGGCGACACUAAUGCAGUGGUGCUAACGCUAAUACAGCGGCGCUAAUGCUAAUGCGGUCGUGCUAACGCUAACGCUAACGCGGCGGCUGUGAAAAAAGUCAAGGCUUGUAGACCGGGAAUUAUGAUUGGCGAGUUUCAGUGGAAACAGCUUUUUCCCUGGCUUUUAUCCCAUUGUCUUCGAGAGGAAGUCUCCUCCGACUCGGACGGGAGGCGAAGAGCAACAAGAGUAACGGCGAGAUAUGUGACAAUGAACAAGGUCGACCCAGUCACCCGGCAUCAGAGCGGCCGAAUCGUACGAGGAGCAGAGGGGUCCCACGAUAUGAGUGAUGAACGACUCCUGUAGUUUUGCGAGCUGUGGUGCUGACCGGUCCAUGAAUGGGCUGAUGGGAAGCCCCAGGCUUGCUUCCUCAUCCCCCUGGAAAGGGUUGCGGGAAAGCUGGAGCCUAUCCCAGCUAGCUUUGGGCUAAAGGCGGACUACACCCUGAACUGGUCGCCAGUCAGUCGCAGGGAAGAUAUCGACACCAUCACUGAGCGGGAAUCGAUGCCACGCUGCCCGCACCUAAGGCAGGCAUGCGUACCACUACAUUAUCCGAGACAAUUAUUAUGUUACAUACUGCUAUGUGAAUCAUUUGUAUAAAAAAAAAAUAAUAACAAAUGAAUCAAAACAUUCUACAAGGAUGCAAAGCAACGCAUUGGCUGGUUAAAACUACAGUCGGUAAAUCUUCGUAAAUGUUAUAAGAUAAUGUUAAUUUCCCUAUUUUAUACUUCUUAGCUUUAUGAAAAGCUCUUGAAAAAUCCAUAAUGAAUUUUUAUAAUUUAACAUCCACCCUGCACCACUAACAACCCAAAAUACAACAACCGUACAUAUGUUCGACACACUGAAUCACGUGGAUUAUGAUUUGAAAGGACGCGCCGCACGCCAAAAACAAUUCAAAGUUCUGGAGAUGUUUGUCGUUCAUUUCUUUGCUCACUUUGUACUCUGUCAACAAAGACGUGCUGCACAAUGGCUGCGUCUUCAUAUAACCAUUAUGGCUCCACGUGAAUGGAAAAUAUUAUUUUUUUUCCCCAAUGCGAGAUAAAAUGAAUCACAUUAUUAUUGAAAAAGGAGGUAUUAUAUUCUGAAGAUUUUUUUUUUUUUAAGUGGAACCAUCCUGCAUCCUUUCCUCACUUUCUCACCAAAGACAUGCUUCCAUAUUGUCACUAUUUUAUUUCUAGUUAUUCAAAUUUUCAGGUGAAUUGAGUUUGUCCUGUGCUCAGACUGCCACGAGUUAUUGUUUGCGCUACUCAUUUAAUGUGAAGCAUUUAGUUUUUUCGUUACGUCAGUGAAUUCAGAAGCAAUUAAUAUGGAGAACGUAAAGGCGAGGGCUUGAUCGCUAUGGCAACCAGAAGCCUGGAUUUCAUCACUGCACACACAGACACACACACGGCUCACGUUCGAGCUGCGUUGUGUAUAAUACACAAUAUAUAGUGAAAUAUAUGGUGGGUAGUAUUGGAUAUUAAAGUGGAUUGCAGGGGAUCAUUUCAAUAAAAAUUGAUUUAUGCGGCCACUUUAUAUCUGUUGGAUCAAGGACAACAUACAGCAUUUGGGUCACUUGAGUUCAAUUAUUUGAAGAGAAAAGUGCGUGCUGUACUGGAUCUACGUCCUCCGCUUUCUUAACAACAACAACGAUGUUGUGCAAACUAAGUGGAUGAAAAAAAAGCAUUUUCACCGCUGUGAUGAUGACAACCUCACAGGGUUGUAGUAGAAGACUUUACAAAUGGCACUAAGCAAAAAAUGGCACAGAAAAUAUGAAUACAAGGGGGCAUACUCGAGGGGAAAAAGGUAAGAAUGAGAACGGUGGAAUGUAUGUACCGAGGAAGUGACUUUUACCGGCCAUGUUAGCGCUGUGCUAGUGUGUUGCAGGCGUGUCUCAGUGAUAUUUACAGGUAAGUUUUAUUUUAACCGGCGGAAGUAUGUCUUAUGACCAUAUUUAGUCAUGUAUGCACAAUUUCCUCGUGUCCUCGCUCUGCUCUGUAUUCAGAUGUGUCCUUGAGUGAUAUCCGCAAUUCUGCACGAAGGCUAACCUUGCUGAAUUGUAUACUGGACACUUUGUAAUAAUCCAUUGCCAGCUAGAACCCAUUGAGACAGAAACCCUUUGUAUAAGUGGAAAGCCCCGAUGUCAUGCCACAGGUUUGAUACCGCUCACAGUACGGUCAAGAUAAAGGAUGUGACCUUUGCACUUGUGAUCUGCUCUCUCCAGCCAUUGUCUGUAACUCAUAAGUGCACCGGAAUAUUCCUUAAGUAAAUGCUUCAAAGAAACUGUUCAUCGUCUCCAGCCUUUAUUUGGAUCACCAACAUUCUCACUACCCGUAAUGAAAUGAACAUGCGGAGGGAAAAAAAACAGCCUCCAACACGGCCCUUUUAGCGUUAGCAAUAGCUUUAGCGCGCUUUAAAUUCUGAAACUGACUUUCUUACGUGAUUUUAAAAUACCUGUAAUGUCAUUUACUCCAAUAAAUCAAAACAAAAAUAUUUAAUGUAUGUGUAAUGAACUACGUCUGAAAUUUGCCACAGUCACGUAGUCCUUGAUACGAUUGGUGCUCACGAAGUAGCCCUCAGCCUCAAAAAGGUCAGUGUUAGCGCCGCGCUAGCGUUAAACUCUGUAUACCGUCUUUCUUUGUAAAUAUCACGCGUUUCAAUGUGGGCAUUUGCGGCUUUUUACACAGCUGCCGCGUACCGUACGUACCAAACGGUAUUUCUUUUACAAAUGUUCUCGGUGAAGCUUGUAACCAGGUGCGCUCUGUAGGCCGGGAAUUACGGUAAUUAUUCCGUUUAUCAAUAUAUGUUGAUGCCAUAGAUAAAUGAAGGUAUUUUUUAUUUAAAGGGGAAAUCCAGUGCACCCGGAGAACAAACAGGUCAAAAACCAAUGUUGGGUCCAAAACCAACGUAAGUUUGCAGCUGCUACCACUUACCCACACACGAAGCUUUUUCUUUGGAACGUCUACCCUCAGGGAUUUUCUGUAACAAUUUAUAGAGUUUACUGUAUUUUACGACAAUAAUGCCUUUGUUCAGUACAUUAAAAAGCAAAAUUGUCUGAAAGGGCCAUUUGUAAUGUAGUGCUCUUGUGCUAGUCAUUAAUCAAUUCACAACAACUAUGUGACUGACUGAUUAGUGAUUUGUACAGUGUAUAGUCCUCCUUUUGCUCUAAUUCAGUUAUACAUACUCGAGUUUAUCAUCCUGAACAGGAAGUGGUAAAUAAAAAGGUCGGACUUAUCUCAAUCAUAAGUGCUUUUUUUUAUUUAUUUUAAUCAUCCGUUGCUAAGCAAAUAAUCACAUCUCUUUUGUGCUCUUGACUCUUCAUCAGCCAACUGAAGUAAACCAAUCAAUGCGGUUUUUGCUUGACGGCAAGAUUUGUUUCAAGCCAUAUUCAAACAAAAAUAGAUUGGAAAUGAAUUUGUGAGCCUGCAGGUACAUUUUAUGUCCCUCUCUGCAAAGGUAGCAGUUUCACAUAGUCUUAAGAAUGUAUGUGUACUCACCAAACACUGCAUUAGAUAUACAGUGAAGAAAAUAAGUAUUUGAACACCCUGCUAAGUUCCAAGUUCUCCCACUUAGAAAUCAUGGAGGGGUCUGAAAUUUUCAGCGUAAAACAGAAGGACUUGAUGGUUUGAAAUCACGCAUGGCACGGAAGGUUCCCCCUGCUGAAACCAGCACAUGUCAAGGCUCGUCUUAAGCUUGCCAAUCACCAUUUGGAUUAUACAAAGGAGUCAUGGGAGAACAUUUUGUGGUCAGAUGAGACCAAAAUGUAACUUUUUGGUCAUAAUUCCACUAACCGUGUUUGGAGGAAGACGAAUGAUGAGUUCCAUCUCAAGAACACCAUCCCUACUGUGCAGCAUGGGGGUGGUCGCAUCAUGUUUUGGGGCUGUUUUUCUGCACAUGGGACCGGACGACUGAACUGUAUUAAGGAGAGGAUGACCGCGGCCAUGUAUUGUGAGAUUCUGGGGAACAAGCUCUUUCCCUCAGUCAGAGCAUUGAAGAUGGAUCGUGGUUGGGUCUUUCAGCAUGACAAUGACCCGAAGCACACAGCCAGGAAAACCAAGGAGUGGCUCCGUAAGAAGCAUUUCAAGGUUCUAGCCAGUCUCCACACUUAAGCCCAGUAGAAAAUCUUUGGAGCGGGUUGAAACUCCGUGUUUCUCAGCCACAGCCCAGAAACCUGUCUGAUCUAGAGAAGAUCUGUGUGGAGGAGUGGGCCAAAAUCCCUCCUGCAGUGUGUGCAAACAUGGUGAACAACUACAGGAAACGUUUGACCUCUGUAAUUGCACACAAAGGCUACUGUACCAAAUAUUAACACUGGUUCUCUCAUGUGUUCAAAUACUUAUUUCCUGCUGUAUCACACAAAUAAAUUGUUAAAAAAAAAUCAUACAUUGUAAUUUCUGGACUUUUCUUUUUCGAUUAUCUCUUUCACAGUGGACAUGCACCUACAAUGAAAUUUCAGACCCCUCCCUGAUUUCUAAGUGGGAGAACUUGCAACAUAGUAGGGUGUUCAAAUACUUAUUUUCUUCACCGUACCUGUGUAGUCGUAUUAUAUCUAAUACAAGAGCUGUAUCAGAAAUUCUGCCGUCACUAAGAAGCAACUUAUUUUUCAAAGGUGUUAAUAGUAUUUCCAUCCAUCCAUCUAUUCUCUGAGCUGCUUAUCCUCACGAGGGUCGCGGGAGUGCUGGAGCCAAUCGCAGCUGUCAUCGGGCAGGAAGCGGGGUACACCCUGAACUGCUUGCCAGCCAAUCACAGUGCGGCAUAACGAGUGUUAUUUUCCCCUUCGUUAUUGCACCGCAUGGGGGUCCUCCUGCGAUUCUUCUUUUCCUUUCGGGCUUGUGGCGUUCGGGGUCGCCACGGCGCGUCAUCCUUUUAUCGCUCUCCUGCACCCUCCUCUCGGGCACCAACUGCUCUCAUCUCAUCCAUCAACCUUCCCUUCGGUCUUCCUCGGGCUCUUUUGCCCGGCAGCUCCGUCCUUCGUCAUCCUUCGACCAAUAUACUCACUCUCUCGCCUCUGGACGUGUCCAAACCAUCCAAAUCUGCUCUAACCUUUGUCUCCAAAACAUGUAACCUUGGCUGCCCCUCCGAAGAGCUUAUUUCUGUCUCUCUCCAACCCGGUGACCCCCCAGAGAGAACCUCAACCUCUUCAUUUCCACCAUCUCCAGCUUCCCGUUGUCUCGUCUUAGCCGCACAUCAUUGCUAACCUCAUAAAAACUUUGCCCUUCAUCGUAGCAGAGAUUUUUCCGUUACAUAACACACCUGACACUUUGCUCCUCCCAUUCCACCGAGCACAGAUUUUUCCAAAUUUCGCAAAUAAGAUACAGUAUGUGAAAUAAUGUAUGUCAUGAUGUACAUAUCUGCAAUAACGGCUAAUUAUGAACAUUAUGGAUACCGUAAUUCCAAGCCUUCAGAGCGCACCUGGUUAUAAGCCUCACCCAGUACUUUUGUCAAGGAAAUACCAUUUGGUACAUACAUACGCCGCAGCUGUGUAAAAGCCGCAAGUGCCCACAUUGAAACACGAGAUAUUUACAAAGAAUGACCGUACACAGAGAGUUUAACAGUAGCCCUGCCAUGCUAAUGCUAAUGCUAGCGCUGCGCUAACAAGGCCGGUUAAAAAAAAACCUUCCUGUGUGACGGUCUGAGCGCUCCCCCAUGCUGAAAAGUCUCCUUGUGAUGAAUGCGCAUGCGUUGCUAACAGGGGAACUCUGGGCACGUAGCAGACGCUUACUGGGAAAUCUCCCGGUCUCAUCGUUCCCCUUCUUCUGGAGAGAGGGAGCUAACAUAUGCUAUAACCUAACCCUAACCUAACCUUAUAACAAAAGUUGAUGAAAAAAAAAAAAAAAGAUAUACACAUAUAUGUACGUUCGCUGUGUUCGUCUUUCUGAGACGUCCAUAGCGAACAUGAACACUUGGCGACAAGUUGUAGAAUGGCACAAGACUGCCCGGAAGUUUACAAAAUAUACGCGCAUGCGCAUUACUUACAAAGAGUCUUUGCCGCACCGGGAGCGCUCAGACCGUCACACCGGUUAAAAAAAAAAAAAAAAAAAAAAAAAUCACUGAGACACGGCAGUUACACGCUAGCGCAGGGCUAACAGGGCCGGACCGGUAAAAGUCACAUCCUCGGAACGUAUAUUCCACCGGUCUCACUCUUACCUUUUCCGCUCGAGCGCCCCCUUGUGGCUGUUAGAAAAAAUGCACAAAUUACCGCAUAAACGGUAGGGUUGAAAGCGUGCAAAAAAAAAAAAAAAUCACGGCUUAUAGGCCGAAAAUCACAGUAAAUACAGACACAAGCGCAUAUUUGGAACAUACAUUUAUGCAUAAUAAAUUGUCCUCCUGGUAUUUUUUUUUUUAUUUGUCCACUGAUAAACAAAAUGUUUCUAUUUUUUGAUGGUGGUCUUAUUUUAACUGUGAGCGACCAAUCAAUAAAAUUUCAUUGUACGUCGGUCUCGGAAUGAAUGAUUUAUUAAUUAAUUGCAUCAAGUUAUCCUGUUUUUCCUGCUAAAACAAGGGGUCCUCAGUUCAUGACAGAAGUUACUACUGCCAGAAUUUUCAUGUAUUUUAUGUUACAAUGUGUCAUUCACAAAAGGUAUAGACAUUUUGAAAAUAUAACCUCUAGGACAUAAAUAUACGACAAUGAAACUAAGAAAGCACGUCUGUCCUUCAUGCUUCAGGCUCGUCGUGAACGGAGAGCCCCCUGUAUUCUGAAAAAAAGUACUAAAUAUCUGAUCUACGGUUAAAUACGAUAAAAGAAUCCACGGAUUGCGGAGAUUCA
Molecule: long non-coding RNA, 7040 nt
Organism: Syngnathoides biaculeatus (alligator pipefish)
Lineage: Eukaryota; Metazoa; Chordata; Actinopteri; Syngnathiformes; Syngnathidae
Exons: 4
Source: RefSeq, a predicted model, not a curated record